UGGGGAAUAUUGCACAAUGGAGGGAACUCUGAUGCAGCGACGCCGCGUGAACGAAGAAGGCUUUCGAGUCGUAAAGUUCUUUUAUAUGGGAAGAUAAUGACGGUACCAUAAGAAAAAGCCCCGGCUAACUACGUGCCAGCAGCCGCGGUAAUACGUAGGGGGCUAGCGUUGUCCGGAAUCACUGGGCGUAAAGGGUUCGCAGGCCGAAAUGCAAGUCAGGUGUAAAAGGCAGUAGCUUAACUACUGUAAGCAUUUGAAACUGCAUAUCUUGAGAAGAGUAGAGGUAAGUGGAAUUUUUAGUGUAGCGGUGAAAUGCGUAGAUAUUAAAAAGAAUACCGGUGGCGAGGGCGACUUACUGGGCUCAUUCUGACGCUGAGGAACGAAAGCGUGGGUAGCAAACAGG
RNAcentral lists this ribosomal RNA (403 nucleotides) under Fusobacteriota bacterium. RNAcentral's name for it is "Fusobacteria bacterium partial 16S ribosomal RNA". It matches the Rfam family "Bacterial small subunit ribosomal RNA", at positions 355 to 776 of the family's 1533-position model. The record is from RNAcentral. Lineage: Bacteria; Fusobacteriati; Fusobacteriota.